RNAcentral lists this ribosomal RNA (485 nucleotides) under Pichia pseudolambica. RNAcentral's name for it is "eukaryotic LSU rRNA". It matches the Rfam family "Eukaryotic large subunit ribosomal RNA", at positions 62 to 560 of the family's 3401-position model. The record is from RNAcentral. Lineage: Eukaryota; Fungi; Ascomycota; Pichiomycetes; Pichiales; Pichiaceae.
AAACCAACAGGGAUUGCCCCAGUAGCGGCGAGUGAAGCGGCAAGAGCUCAGAUUUGGAAUCGUGUUUCGGCACGAGUUGUAAAUUGCAGGUUGGAGUCUUUGUGGAAGCGUGUGUCCAAGUCCCUUGGAACAGGGCGCCAUUGAGGGUGAGAGCCCCGUGGGAUGCGCGCGGAAGCAGCAAGGCCCUUCUGACGAGUCGAGUUGUUUGGGAAUGCAGCUCUAAGCGGGUGGUAAAUUCCAUCUAAGGCUAAAUACUGGCGAGAGACCGAUAGCGAACAAGUACUGUGAAGGAAAGAUGAAAAGCACUUUGAAAAGAGAGUGAAACAGCACGUGAAAUUGUUGAAAGGGAAGGGUAUUGGGCCCGACAUGGGGAUUGCGCAUCUCUGCUCCUUGUGGGCGGGGCGCUGUGCUUUUCCUGGGCCAGCAUCGGUUUUUGCCGCAGGAGAAGGGGUACUGGAAUGUGGCUCCUCGGAGUGUUAUAGCCA